AUUGAACGCUGGCGGCAGGCCUAACACAUGCAAGUCGAACGGUAACAGGAAGACGCUUGCUUCUUUGCUGACGAGUGGCGGACGGGUGAGUAAUGUCUGGGAAACUGCCUGAUGGAGGGGGAUAACUACUGGAAACGGUAGCUAAUACCGCAUAACGUCGCAAGACCAAAGAGGGGGACCUUCGGGCCUCUUGUCAUCGGAUGUGCCCAGAUGGGAUUAGCUAGUAGGUGGGGUAACGGCUCACCUAGGCGACGAUCCCUAGCUGGUCUGAGAGGAUGACCAGCCACACUGGAACUGAGACACGGUCCAGACUCCUACGGGAGGCAGCAGUGGGGAAUAUUGCACAAUGGGCGCAAGCCUGAUGCAGCCAUGCCGCGUGUAUGAAGAAGGCCUUCGGGUUGUAAAGUACUUUCAGCGGGGAGGAAGGGAGUAAAGUUAAUACCUUUGCUCAUUGACGUUACCCGCAGAAGAAGCACCGGCUAACUCCGUG
RNAcentral lists this ribosomal RNA (490 nucleotides) under uncultured bacterium. RNAcentral's name for it is "partial 16S ribosomal RNA". It matches the Rfam family "Bacterial small subunit ribosomal RNA", at positions 30 to 507 of the family's 1533-position model. The record is from RNAcentral.